UACGUAGGGUGCGAGCGUUAAUCGGAAUUACUGGGCGUAAAGCGUGCGCAGGCGGUUCGUUGUGUCGGCGGUGAAAGCCCCGGGCUUAACCUGGGAAUGGCCGUUGAAACUGGUCAGCUGGAGGACGGUAGAGGCGAGUGGAAUUCCCGGUGUAGUGGUGAAAUGCGUAGAGAUCGGGAGGAACACCUGUGGCGAAGGCGGGUCUCUGGACAGUUCCUGACGCUGAGGCACGAAGGUCAGGGGAGCAAACGGG
RNAcentral lists this ribosomal RNA (253 nucleotides) under uncultured bacterium. RNAcentral describes it as "partial 16S ribosomal RNA". It matches the Rfam family "Bacterial small subunit ribosomal RNA", at positions 524 to 776 of the family's 1533-position model. The record is from RNAcentral.